RNAcentral lists this ribosomal RNA (493 nucleotides) under uncultured bacterium. Its description in RNAcentral is "partial 16S ribosomal RNA". It matches the Rfam family "Bacterial small subunit ribosomal RNA", at positions 28 to 507 of the family's 1533-position model. The record is from RNAcentral.
GACGAACGCUGGCGGCGCGCUUAACACAUGCAAGUCGAACGGAAAGGCCUGCUUUCCCUUGUGGAUUGCGGGUACUCGAGUGGCGAACGGGUGAGUAACACGUGAGUGAUCUGCCCCCAACUUGGGUAUAAGCCUGGGAAACUGGGUCUAAUUCCCGAUAGGACUGCAGGGUGGUGCCUGUGGUGGAAAACGAUUUUCUAGUGGUUGGGGAUGAGCUCGCGGCCUAUCAGCUUGUUGGUGGGGUAAUGGCCUACCAAGGCGGCGACGGGUAGCCGGCCUGAGAGAGGGACGGCCACAUUGAGACUGGGAUACGGCCCAGACUCCUACGGGAGGCAGCAGUGGGGAAUAUUGCACAAUGGGCGGAAGCCUGAUGCAGCGACGCCGCGGGGGGGAUGACGGCCUUCGGGUUGUAAACUCCUUUCGACCGCGAGGAAGCCACCUGGUUGGAAGGGUGGUGACGGUAGUGGUAGAAGAAGCACCGGCUAACUACGUG